This 231-nucleotide unclassified non-coding RNA is filed under the name Hevea brasiliensis (rubber tree). The record is from RNAcentral. Lineage: Eukaryota; Viridiplantae; Streptophyta; Magnoliopsida; Malpighiales; Euphorbiaceae.
AGAUUUGAAAGCAAAUCCUGAAACACUAUCAACUGCUACUGAAAGCUGCUGAAUUAACUCUUCAGCUGUCACAUCCCCAUCAUAAGUGGAUGCCACAUUAGACAUCCAAGCAGGAACUAGGGAAGAUUGCCAAGCAAAACAAUUAUUUCUCAGAAGGCACCUCAAAACUCCUUCUGGACAAAGCAUCAGCCACCUGAUUCUCAAUCACCUUUCUAUAUAAAAUCUUAUAAU